GGCUAACGCUGGCGGCGUGUCUUAGCCAUGCAAGUCGAGCGGACUUAUGGGGUAACUUAUAAGUCAGCGGCGGACGGCGGAGUAACACGUAGCUAACCUACCCUCUGGACGGGGAUAACCUACCGAAAGGUGGGCUAAUACCCGAUGUAGUCAUCCUGUAUAGGGGUGAUGAAAGGUGGGCUUCUGUUUACAAGCUCAUGCUGGAGGAGGGGGCUGCGGCCUAUCAGGUAGUUGGUAGGGUAAUAGCCUACCAAGCCGAUGACGGGUAGCCGGCCUGAGAGGGUGACCGGCCCGAGGGGCACUGAGAUACGGGUCCCACUCCUACGGGAGGCAGCAGGCUAGAAAUUUGGGCAAUGGGGGAAACCCUGACCCAGUGACGCCGCGUGCAGGAAGGAGCCCUUCGGGGUGUAAACUGCUGUCGUGUAGGGAGAAGGGUACUAAGGUGAACAAUCUUAGUACUUGACGGUACUACAGGAGGAAGCCCAGGCUAACCUCGUGCCAGCAGCCCGGGUAAGUAGUCGUACGUACGGUAACGUCGUAGGC
Molecule: ribosomal RNA, 543 nt
Filed under: uncultured bacterium
Lineage: Bacteria
Description: bacterial SSU rRNA
Rfam family: Bacterial small subunit ribosomal RNA
Source: RNAcentral